AGCAGGGAAAGGCCACCGCACGUUGGCGAGGCCUGGCGGGGCCCAGAAGUGACGUGAAGGCUCCUGACCUGAGAGUGCCCAGCGGGUUGUGCGUCCUUCUUUCUGCCCGUCUCCACCCCCGGUUUUCACUCAAGCUCUGCUGGUGCUUCACCUGACAACUUCCAGACUCACAGGUGGGGAGGAGCCCAGGUCAGCACUGCCGAUUACCCUCACCCCCAAACACUCCACCGCUGUGGAAGAAGCAUCAGGGCUGGCAUUGCCUUCCCUGCCUUGGGGUGCGUCUGUUCAAACUCUUCCAGCCCCUCAAGCAGAAACCCUGUGGAUUGGGGCCAAACUCCUCUUGCAGUGACUCAAGGCGGCCAGCCCUGCUGAAAGGAUGGGAUGGGAGGUGAAAGGCCCUUAGCCUAUUGCUUUGAAAUGGUUUAUAUUACCCUGGUGCCUGCAUAUUUUUCCCUCCACUUGACUUCUCCUACCCUUUGCUGGUUUUCCUGCCUGGCACCCCCAGCAGUGAAACACAAGGUUGGACCAAGGCCUCCAGGAGAGAGCCCUGCCAUCAGGAAAGCAGCACAAGACCAGGACCUACUGAUGGACCCUUUUCAGGACAACCCAACAGCCGUGGUGCUUUCCUAAGCUGCAGGAGACCUGG
Molecule: long non-coding RNA, 646 nt
Filed under: Marmota marmota marmota (Alpine marmot)
Lineage: Eukaryota; Metazoa; Chordata; Mammalia; Rodentia; Sciuridae
Description: lncRNA (ENSMMMG00000014546.1)
Source: RNAcentral